UGGGGAAUAUUGGGCAAUGGGGGAAACCCUGACCCAGCAACGCCGCGUGAGGGAAGAAGGUUUUCGGAUCGUAAACCUCUGUCCUUUGUGACGAAGAAGUGACGGUACCAAAGGAGGAAGCCCCGGCUAACUACGUGCCAGCAGCCGCGGUAAUACGUAGGGGGCGAGCGUUGUUCGGAAUUACUGGGCGUAAAGCGUGCGCAGGCGGCCUGUUAAGUCUGGAGUGAAAGUCCUGCUUUCAAGGUGGGAAUUGCUUUGGAAACUGGCGGGCUGGAGUGCAGGAGAGGUUAGCGGAAUUCCCGGUGUAGCGGUGAAAUGCGUAGAGAUCGGGAGGAACACCAGUGGCGAAGGCGGCUAACUGGACUGUAACUGACGCUGAAGCGCGAAAGUGUGGGGAGCAAACAGG
RNAcentral lists this ribosomal RNA (406 nucleotides) under uncultured prokaryote. RNAcentral describes it as "bacterial SSU rRNA". It matches the Rfam family "Bacterial small subunit ribosomal RNA", at positions 355 to 776 of the family's 1533-position model. The record is from RNAcentral. RNAcentral also lists the same sequence under 1 other name.